GCACAACACCACUCAGGCCAAGUCCCAGAAAUACUCCUGAAAAAAAAAAAAAAAACAGAGGAAUGAAUGCCAAAAUGUUAAAACACAGCAGGUAUUAAGAAGCUUAAAGGGCCUAACUCAACAAGACAAACACAAGACUCAAAGUGAAAGGAUGGAAAACUACCAUACAAGCCAACAAACCACAAAAAAGGUCAGGAACAGCUAUUCUCAAUCUGAUCUGAUAGACCUUAAAAUAAACAAAAUUUUAAGAGA
This is a long non-coding RNA of Erinaceus europaeus (western European hedgehog), 252 nucleotides long. RefSeq lists it as uncharacterized. The record is from RefSeq and is a predicted model, not a curated record. Lineage: Eukaryota; Metazoa; Chordata; Mammalia; Eulipotyphla; Erinaceidae. The transcript has 2 exons.